RNAcentral lists this ribosomal RNA (470 nucleotides) under uncultured bacterium. Its description in RNAcentral is "partial 16S ribosomal RNA". It matches the Rfam family "Bacterial small subunit ribosomal RNA", at positions 28 to 507 of the family's 1533-position model. The record is from RNAcentral.
GACGAACGCUGGCGGCGUGCUUAACACAUGCAAGUCGAACGGAGAACGAGGGAGCUUGCUCCCUCCAGAUCAGUCGCGAACGGGUGAGUAACACGUGAGCAAUCUGCCCCGAACUCUGGGAUAAGCGUUGGAAACGACGUCUAAUACCGGAUACGACGCGGGUGGGUAUCCUCUCCGCGUGGAAAGAACUUCGGUUCGGGAUGAGCUCGCGGCCUAUCAGCUUGUUGGUGGGGUAGCGGCUCACCAAGGCGACGACGGGUAGCCGGCCUGAGAGGGUGACCGGCCACACUGGGACUGAGACACGGCCCAGACUCCUACGGGAGGCAGCAGUGGGGAAUAUUGCACAAUGGGCGCAAGCCUGAUGCAGCAACGCCGCGUGAGGGACGACGGCCUUCGGGUUGUAAACCUCUUUUGGCAGGGAAGAAGCGAAAGUGACGGUACCUGCAGAAGAAGCACCGGCUAACUACGUG